AUGAAUUCACGGGGCAGGAAUUUCUUGUUUGGAAGAGUUCAGAGUCGGUUUUGCCCCACAUCACAGGGCGCAGGUAUGCGCAAGCUGUUCCUACAAGUUGUAGGGCCGGCGCUCAGCGCAGCGUCUCCGAACCCGACACCCAGAUUAAUGCACGCUUGCGGUCGCCCCGUAAUUAAAAUCGUCUCCGAUUCUCCACGAACCCAACAGUUUCCUCAUAACGAACAGAGGGAGAUGAAAGGGCCCUUCAGUGGGAAAAAAGGGCCGGGUUAUAAAUAUGGCAUUACUUCAUCCACCACAACGCCGGCUGGGUUGCUGGGGUUGGGGCCAGCGCUGCCCCCAAAGGACGGCAGGGUCCCCGCGGCCACCAGCUUGGGGACAUCUGGGGACAUUUGGGAUUCCAAACUGACCGCCCCCAGUGCAUGCAGCGCUCCGUCCUGCAGAACAAAGCCGGGUUCGUUUCUUGGGUUUUUUUUUGGAGAUUCCGAGCACUGUCCCAAAGCUUCGCACAAAGCACCGCCAUCCCCAUCCGAAACCAAAAACGCACGGCAGCCACUCGGGUCUCUACCAUGGAGGAGCUGCAGGGCGGCUGGCACCCGGCUGGAAGCAAUUAUCCCCGCGGCAGCGCCGGGAGGAGGAGUGCUCGGAGCUGUGGGUUGUGUGAGGCGAGCGGGGAACAGAGGGGCUUUGUGCGCCCCGGCACCCCGCGCCUCGCCGUCCCAUCCAUCCCCCCACGCCUUCCGGGGCCUUUGUGAAACGCUCCCCGGCCCCGUUAGCACCAAGGCAGGUGCUCUCAGUGCCACCAAGACAAGAUUUCCCAGUGCCACCAAUGCGGGAUUUCUCGGUGCCACCAAGACAAGAUCUCCCAGUGUCACCAAGGGUCCCAGUGUCACCAAGGUUCCCGGUGUCAUCAAGGCAGGAUCACUCCUUGCCACCAAAGGAGGAUCUGCCAGCACCACCAAGGCAGGAGCUCCCAGUGCCACCAAGGCAGGAGCUCCCAGUGCCACCAAGGCAGGAUCUCCCAGUGCUCAAGCUGGAGGAUGCCCACAGAGGAUGCCCACAGAGGGAAGCAGCGCUGCCUUCCAGUUCCACUGGGAGCGAGCCCACGCUGACAGCGGCAUCCAUAGAUCCUCUGGGUUUUGGCCUUAG
Molecule: long non-coding RNA, 1146 nt
Filed under: Numida meleagris (helmeted guineafowl)
Lineage: Eukaryota; Metazoa; Chordata; Aves; Galliformes; Numididae
Description: lncRNA (ENSNMEG00000019926.1)
Source: RNAcentral